Long non-coding RNA from Silurus meridionalis, 1189 nucleotides. RefSeq lists it as uncharacterized. Lineage: Eukaryota; Metazoa; Chordata; Actinopteri; Siluriformes; Siluridae. The record is from RefSeq and is a predicted model, not a curated record. The transcript is spliced from 2 exons.
UAAUCCUUAUUUGGCUUUCAUGCUAUGUGAGAAUGUGACUACUGUAAUACUCGAUGGUUUGUAAAUGACUGUUCUUGCUCUCUGUGCCAAACUAUAGCAUUAGUCAGUGGUCACGUAUGCGUGGAACAGCUGCCAAGCAUUGUACAUCUCACAGAGGGAAAAAAUGUUACCAUCUCAUGUUACAUCCAUGCAGAUGAAGGAGAGAAAAUUUCUAAAUUCCUUGUGGAGUGGUUCAAGGAGGAGGCUGAGGGACAACUAAUCAAUGUUGGAAAACUUUCCAAGCUUAAAGGAAGGUUGCAUGAAAACACUAAUAGCAUUCAACACAGUGCAAGCCUUUCAUUUUACAUGCUCGAGCUAAAUGACACUGGCAGAUAUUUCUGCAAUUUUAUCUAUCGGAUUGAUCAUCAUAUACUGCAGCUACAUGCGAACGGCACAAGACUCAUCGUUCAAGAAGAGGUAACUGCAGACACGACUAUCGCCAGUACCACCGAAAAUACUCCUAAUAAUACUAGUGCUGAUACUGAGAAGGUCAUCACAGACAAUCUCCUUCUAACAUUUCUUCUUUCUCUUCCAUUAUUAUUAAAGUUUGUGGCAACUGUGUUCAUAUGCGUUUAUACUUUGUUUUCCUAUACAUCAAUUGUUAUUUCUUGCCGUUUUACAUAAAAAUCUUUUCAAAUGUCUCCAUAUGCCUUUUGUUUUUCACCGAACAGUGAUUCUUAUGACUCAUAAACGCCCACAGAUAGUUGUGCCAAAAGGUCCUUCUGUGCAUGAAUAUUACAAUAAUGACACUCCCUGAUGUAUGUUCUGACUAUGACCUCUCUCAAAUACAUCUUAAUUAUGAAAAAGGUGUCAAAUGUGUGUCAUUGCAUGCAAUUGGCUAUUGUUUCUUUUUUGCCCUUACAUGGGUAAAAAUUAAUGUUUUACUAAUAACACAAAUACUAAUGAAAACAAAGUACCGUUAGAGUUUCUGCCAGGAUUUCACAGUGUGUAGCUGUGUCCCACUGCCAACAAUAAGCCUUUAUAAGGUCAUGAUACAUGGAAGACCAUUUACUUCAGUUUGUGUCUGUUAUACAUAUAGAAAUGAUCUGGUGCCUCUGCCAGUGUUUCUGCCAAGAUGUAUUGAUAUUGUGUCUCUGUUGGAGAUUACUGAUAUUGACAAUAAACCUUGUUGAGUUUUAAUAAUAUGGAA